UUUGGGUGUGGGAUUAGACUCACUGAGUAAACUAGUUACUCAUGACUCGUUUGUGAUGCAGAUAACCAAUAGGCGGGAAACCUUACUCUAGGACGGGAACGAACAGCAUUUGCCAGCGGUAGUUUUAUUAUCCUUGCAAAGUCAUUUUGAUAUAUCUUAUGUAUAAGAUUUGUUGACCAAAAACCUCGAGGUUAAUUUAUAACAAAUUUUGUAAGAUGCUUUUGAUUGAUAUAUAAAGAAUGUUUUUUUAAAGUACGGGUUCCAUAUGAUAUUAGUCCUUGUCCGGACGAACUAACUAUCGGGUAUUGCUUUGUCGGGUUGAAAAGCCUAGAGUUAUACCCGAUAGGAGCGUUGGUGUUCUUUGGUUGUUGGUCUAAGGCGAUCGGAAGUAUUCUGAGAACCUCAGAUCGACAAUCGAGGAACAUCGACCGUGUCAUUUCCGGUCAUCUACGAUCGGGGGUGUCACAAAGGUGGUAUCAGAGCAUGGUUAUACGAUGCUAGAAUGGGACUUGUUUCAAAUGUUUUUCGAGUCCAAAUGAGUUGCAAGGAUAACUAGGAUAUGCUGGCUUGUUCCUUCAUUUUAGGAUAGAUAGUCAUGGGUAGUUACCUAACAGUGAUAUUUCAUAGCAGCAGCACCGAGACAAGCUUGAACGGGUGGACCGUACUUACCGAUGUUAGUAUCAUCAAGCUCGAGUUUUCUACCCUCAUGGUGGUGUUCACUACCGCCCUGUUAAGAGUCAGUAACGUCAUGCCUUCUUGUCGUUGUUUUGAAUUCUAGUGGGGGAUGCCAAUUCUUUAGAGAGAGAUAUGGGACAGAACAGAUACAUCGAAUACAUCUCCGGACUCGUGUGUUAUCGAUGUCAAGGUGGGCGUUCUUUGUGGUCCGAUUCAAAGCGAUGCGACUGCACAUGAUCACCUAGAUGCACUUAUUCUUCCAGCUUCUCAAGUCUCCAGAUCAUGCUGAGACGUACAAGAAACAGAGCCGUACAAGCUUGAAUUGUUCAACAUUUGUUUGGAGCUUAGUGUUGGAGGAAGAGAUGGUUCAACUGUAGUACAAUACGAUGGACACACAUGCACCUUUCUGUUGGCAACAAGACAUCUUAAAGCUUAUGAUGGAAAGAAGUAGUGGGACCAUAAGAUACUGAAGAAACACUAAACCGUUUGAGGUAUACUUUGGAUUUGGGAUGAAACACCUAGAGCAAAACAUUGACGUGGCCAAUGUUCAGAGAAUUACAUGAAGGAUUUGGUAGCAAGCUAUUUGGAGAUGAACGCGAUGAGUUGUUGGUCGAGAGUCAAGAAUUACUUCAGAGAGGUGAGAUCGAGUUGGACAGAUCUCAAGAGUUCAUGAAGUAGAAUUUUCUACACAAGAUAUGGGACCGAUUGAAGAUUCAGUUUACGGAGUUGGUACAGUGGGAUGUUUCCGCCAGGAGGUUCAGGUUGAGUUAAUCAUAUACAACAAUUUCAGCAUCAAGAUAUGUGGUCGAGUGAAUUUCAUUGAUCGAUUAUGGUUUGGAGAAUAAGCCAAAUAUCAGAUGGAAAAUAUUUGGGAACUUUGCCAAGAAUUUUGUAGUAGAUAAAAGACCAUGGAGUCUCAGAGCUUCGAGGAGAUGUGAGAGUAUGACGCGAAUACAAAAGAAGUUAUUGCUGAAGAAGUUCACCAAAUUCUGCAGACCAUUUAAUUCCCAACCAGUGAAGAUCGAAGAUUAUUUUAAAUCAGUGGAUUAAGUCGCUGGGAUGAUUUUUGGUGUACGUUUCAUCAGAUCAAGAUCGAGGAGGCUGAGUUGUUAUGGUGGUGAGAUGCCAAGACAGCAUAGUCGGGAUCGUCCAAGUGCGAGAAAUUCUUGAUUAUUUGCAUUAAUGCGCUUCAGUGAUUCCCUUGUGAAGAGUAAGGAUGAUUAUUUUACCCUUGCCCAUAAAGUUACCCGGUUCCUUUGCCUAUACCUAGGGUACCAGUAGUUGGAUUUUUUCACGCUUCCUUACCGUUAGUCCACAUCCAAGUGUUAGGCUAUUUGGGUAGAGCCUACACUUUAUAGUUGACUGGACCGUCAAAACCCCUGAAAGGUCCAAUCACAUGUUUGCUUUUUAUCCCAUUGUGUGUUGUGUGCAUUUCUUAAAAUUUUAUGAAUGAUUAAAAUUAAAAAAUAAAAAUAAAAAUGUGAAUUGUGAUCAAGGUGUCGUAAGAGACCUUGCCUAUGGAUGGAAUUUUCCGUCCAUAUUGUGUUUGAUUCGGGAACCACACAUAGUUGUAGUUCCCGAGUAGUGUCAUAGUUGUAAGUAGGAUUCACUUUAGUGAAUUCAAGUACCCGUUCUUAUUCUUGGAAGUACUGGCUGCCAGUUAAAAUUUGUGGUAUGCCUUUCCCCAUUCCAUAGUACUUCCGUUAGAGCGGUAUGUUUCUAUCUAGAAUGAGACUGGCUAUCUAGUUACCGAGCUCAAUUUGGAUAUUAAGUAAAUAAGUCUUUUGAAGAGGACCAGUUAUUGUUGGCCUACAAUGGUAUACUACUAAGUGUUCGAGUAUCACUCAAAUCAGUCUGGCGUGUUGAUGAACUUUUGGGAAAAGGUGAAGAAGUGUACUCUAGUAACUUGAUUGUUUAAAAAGUAGAAGAUGAAAAGGAGCAGAGUAGAAGACAGUCUGAUAAUCAGGGAAGAUGAAGAUGUGUUUAAGGCAUUGAAAGGAUGGUCGACAUCUAAAAAAAGUAACAUGUUAAGUAUUCUUGUUAAACAUGAAAUCACUGCAAUAGCCUAGGGAUUUCACCAAGUGGUUCUUGUCGAGUUCUAGUAGUAGUUAGAAGAUUAUGAAGAGCAUUUCAGAUAGAUCAGAAGUGUAAAGAAUAAUGUAAGUGAAAUCAUUCUUGGAAUGGGUGAGUGUGUUUAUUUGAGAGUAGCACCCCUGGUCUGAAUCAUGUUGGCGUGAUUGAUCGUGCAUGUUCUUGUUUGAUUGUUGCACGGUUAAUCAAGUUAACAUUGACUAGACUGGAGAUGUUACAUUCACGUAUGGCACAUCACCUCACGUUUCGAAUUUCAUGUUGUUGUUAUGGGGGAGAGCCAGAUAGAAAAGGUUGAGAAGUAAUAGUCUACAGAUACAAGAUUGUUAGAAAAAGUAUGCAGACCGCAGUUGACAAGAAUUGUGCAGAGUAAAGAAUUUGGUUAUCUUGAAAGUGGCUGCUCAGAAAAGAAAGGAUUGGUUUGGGGAAUCAAGGGAUCGACCAUGAGUUGUUUUGAUAUGGGCAGAUUAAGAUAAGGUCAGAUCUAAUAUCCAUAACUCCUUUCAGAGACUGUUCAGUAAAGAGUGUACAGCUACGUUUUUAGAAUUCGGGGACGAAUUCUUUUGAGGGGGGAAGAAUGUAAUAACCCUCGCGAGCAGAUAUAAUUUUGGUCGAGAAAAUUCUUUUAAGAUCAGUUUGAAGAUUGAUCGAUCAGAAUUUAAAUAAAAAUCGACACGGUGAAUUAAUCUCUCGACGGGCUAUCUUUUGGUCAAAAAAACCAUCUCUUGACGGUUCUGGUCGAGUGUUAUUUAUUAUUGUCGAUUUUUAUUCAUGCUAGGCGAGUUUAUUCAGAGCAGGACGAGAUUCGAAUGAUGAAAAAUAUUUAGUCGAAACAGUCCGAACAUUAUCGACAAAACUCUGAAAAUUAUUUCUGAACAGUCACAUGCCUUGCACCUUCUAGCCUACUUGCUUCCUCAGUAAUUAGGUCACAUGACCUGCACCUACUUGCUUGCCUUCUUGCUCAUUAGAAGUCACAUGCUUGUCACAAGCUACUUGCUUCAGCUGCUUGUAGCUUUCUUCAUGGGAAGGAAAAGUUAAGCUGCUUGUGCUGCUUGGUGUGCUGCAGCAUGUCUCCCCCUGUCUAGCCUCAGCUUUGCCUUGUGUGGGAGUAAACCCUCAUCUGAAGUAACUCCUUAUGCUUUAAAACACCUUCUUCUGUCCUCUGGACGUUCAUAACCUGCAAGAAAAACCAGAGAAAAAUUCAGAGAGAAAGAGAGAAAGAAGAGAGAAAAAUCUUUGAGAAAAACAAGUUGCAAAAUUCAGAAAAAAUAUUCAGAGAAGAGAAUUGAGCAUGGACGUAGCUUUAUCACCAUCCUGUGACUUUAAUCAGUGAGUAUUUUUGUGGUAAAGAGUUGGAGAUUUGGUGUCCUCAAGUUGAGAAUCACCCAUGUUCUUCAGCCUUUGAUUUUGAUCGGUAAGAUGGUUGUGGAUCAGUUUCUGUGAGAAGUUUUGUUGGUUUGCCUACACUAGAGAUAAAUUCUGAAUAAAUCCAACCAUGGAUUCUUGUGGUGUUGAUCAGGUUCAUUCGUGGUUAGCUUGAAGAGAGACAACCAGUCAAGUUUAAUUAGUUGAGUAAAACCGGUAAGCUUCAGCUUCUUGAUUCAGCCAUGUUUUGAUGAGAACCAAUUGCUGUAUGUUGGUUAACCUGUCAGGAUCAGUUGUCUAAGGUCUUGUUCUCUUCAGUCUUGGUUGGUUUAUGAUUUAAUCAGUCUCAUAGAACCGUUAAACAAACUGAUAAGAAUUAUAGGAAUUAAACCGAACUGAUUUGAUCUUGUUUAGAACUGAAUUGAGCUGAGUAUGUUCUGAUCUGAUCUGAGCCGAGCUGUCUAUGGUCUGAAAUUGUCUUGAACUGAUGUCGUCUGAGUAUAACCGACUUAAGCUGUUGGGAACUGAUUAGAACCGGAGUUAGCUGAGCAUGAACUAAGCUGAUAUGAACCGAGUUAAAUUGUUAAAGCUUCAACCGAACUGAACUGCUUUGAACUAAGCUGAGUAGAGUUUCCACACAGCCUGUAUGUUGGAAUCAACCUGACUGGUCUUGUAUCCACACAUUCUGAAUCAGGAGUGAAAUAGAGUGUUAUUAGUUGAGCUCGAGUUUAGUCUUUCCUAGCCAAUCUCAUGGAUUUAAAGGUGAGUCUAGAUAGAUGAUGAAUGAAUUAUGAAUGAGUAUGCAUGAUUGCAUAUUGAAUAUGGUUGAUUAAUUAAGAAUUAAUCAUGAAUUAAUUAAAGGAUAAUCAUUGAUUAAUUAAGGAUUAAUCAUGGAUUAAUUAAGGAAUAAUUAUGGUUGAUUGAUUAAGUAUUAUCCCUUGAUCUAUAUUUAUAUAUGAAGUAUUUAUCUAGUUUAAAUACUUAAGAAUUAAUAAGAAUAAUUCUUUGAGGUUAUCCCGAGCCUUAGUACUUGUUCUCAAGUACUAAUCUAUAAGUAUUAUAUUAAUAAGUGUGAAUCAUGUGAAGUCUUAUUGUAUACUCACUCUCCCGAAAGUCCCGCAUUGCCAUGAAUUGGUCCUGCAAUAUGGAUCAAGGUCAUGAAGACACGAUGAUGGGGUCGCACCCUAGAGGCCGUGUAACUGCAUGCAGCGUUAGAUGUUCUAUCUUGGAAUAUCUGAUGGAGAUGAUGGUUAUAUUUAUUCCCUGUUAGGCUCGGUUAGCCUUGGUGGUUUUCCAGGUUUAGCAUAUAUAAAUAUUAAGAGUAUGAGUGAUUGGCGGGUAUCGUGGAGGUGAUGUUUAAGAUAGAUUCACAUGGAUGGAUUGAGAGGCCUUAUAAUUAUAUUAAUUAUGGAAUAUAAUUCCACUGCAUUCAAAUGGUGUCGCUUGCUCGGGAUACUAUUGAUAUGUGUUUGGGUAUGGGAUUAGACUCACUGAGUAAACUAGUUACUCAUGACUCAUUUGUGAUGCAGAUAACCAAUAAGGGGGAAACCUUACUCUAGGACGGGAACGAACAGCAUUUGCCAGCGGUAGUUUUAUUAUCCUUGCAAAGUCAUUUUGAUAUAUCUUAUGUAUAAGAUUUGUUGACCGAAAACCUCGAGGUUAAUUUAUAACAAAUUUAGUAAGAUGCUUUUGAUUGAUAUAUAAAGAAUGUUUUUUUUUAAGUACGGGUUCCAUAUGAUAUUAGUCCUUGUCCGGACGAACUAACUAUCGGGUAUUGCUUUGUCGGGUUGAAAAGCCUAGAGUUAUAUCCGAUAGGAGCGUUGGUGUUCUUUGGUUGGUUGUCUAAGGCGAUCGGAAGUAUUCUGAGAACCUCAGAUCGACAAUCGAGGAACAUCG
This 6024-nucleotide long non-coding RNA is filed under the name Brassica napus (rape). RNAcentral's name for it is "long non-coding RNA (BNAP_LNC025701)". Lineage: Eukaryota; Viridiplantae; Streptophyta; Magnoliopsida; Brassicales; Brassicaceae. The record is from RNAcentral.